GGGACGAAUAGCUCAGUAAAACUGCGAUGAUUUAGUCUGGCUGUGUAGAUAACUACGUGAAAAUGUAGCUAAGGGAAGGCAGAAUAAGACGCAGGACUAUCAGUUAGUUGGUAGUGUAAUGGACUACCAAGACAGUGACGGUUGACGGGAAAUUAGGGUUUUGUACCGGAGAGGGAGCCUGAGAGAUUGCUCCCACGUCCAAGGACGGCAGCAGGCGCGAAAAUUGCCCACUCUUUGCAGGAGGCAGUUAUGAGACGUGAAGAUGAGUAUCUUGUAAAGAGGGAUAGGAGAAUUGGAGGGCAAGUUUGGUGCCAGCAGCCGCGGUAAUACCGACUCCAAGAGUGUGUAUGAGAGAUGCUGCAGUUAAAAAGUCCGUAGUCAUAGAAGGGCAAAGAGAGAUGCGAGGUCUCACAGUGCGAUGAUGGAGGAGCCGAUGGGGAACAUAGUAUACCAGGGCGAGAGAUGAAAUGCCAAGACCCCUGGUGGACUGAGCGAGGCGAAGGCGAUGUUCUUGUAGGCAUUCGGUGAUCAAGGACGAAGGCUGGAGUAUCGAAAGUGAUUAGAUACCGCAGUAGUUCCAGCAGUAAAAGAUGCCGACAUGCUCAUUGGACACAGUGGGCAGGGAGAAAUCUUAAGAGUUCGGGCUCUGGGGAUAGUAUGCUCGCAAGGGUGAAAAUUAAAGAAAUUGACGGAGCUACACCACAAGGAGUGGAUUGUGCGGCUUAAUUUGACUCAACGCGAGGAAACUUACCAGGGCCAAGUAUU
This 765-nucleotide ribosomal RNA is filed under the name Vittaforma corneae. Its description in RNAcentral is "SSU rRNA". It matches the Rfam family "Microsporidia small subunit ribosomal RNA", at positions 76 to 866 of the family's 1311-position model. The record is from RNAcentral. Lineage: Eukaryota; Fungi; Microsporidia; Nosematidae.